AGUGAACGCUGGCGGUAGGCCUAACACAUGCAAGUCGAACGGCAGCACAGUAAGAGCUUGCUCUUACGGGUGGCGAGUGGCGGACGGGUGAGGAAUACAUCGGAAUCUACUUUUUCGUGGGGGAUAACGUAGGGAAACUUACGCUAAUACCGCAUACGACCUACGGGUGAAAGCAGGGGAUCUUCGGACCUUGCGCGAUUGAAUGAGCCGAUGUCGGAUUAGCUAGUUGGCGGGGUAAAGGCCCACCAAGCCGACGAUCCGUAGCUGGUCUGAGAGGAUGAUCGGCACCCCUGAACCUGAGACACGGUCCAGCCCCCUACGGGAGGCAGCAGUGGGGAAUAUUGGACAAUGGGCGCAAGCCUGCUCCAGCCAUACCGCGUGGGUGAAGAAGGCCUUCGGGUUGUAAAGCCCUUCUGUUGGGAAAGAAAAGCAGCAGGUUAAUACCCCGCUGUUCUGACGGUACCCAAAGAAUAAGCACCGGCUAACUUCGU
This 491-nucleotide ribosomal RNA is filed under the name uncultured bacterium. Its description in RNAcentral is "partial 16S ribosomal RNA". It matches the Rfam family "Bacterial small subunit ribosomal RNA", at positions 29 to 506 of the family's 1533-position model. The record is from RNAcentral.